This 967-nucleotide small RNA is filed under the name Pan troglodytes (chimpanzee). RNAcentral describes it as "retained intron". Lineage: Eukaryota; Metazoa; Chordata; Mammalia; Primates; Hominidae. The record is from RNAcentral.
GAAAUGUGCCUUAGGGAGCACUGCUUGCCCUUGGGAGUCCAGGGAGGCUCCUGAGGGUGCACACAGUCACUAGUCUGUUUGUGACUCACAGGCAGAGGUGAUCAUGAACUACCAUGUCGGGGAGACGGUGCUGUCCUUACAGAAGACCACGCUGAUCCCCGGAGGCUCAGAAUCACUUGUCUAUACCACCUUGUCUGGAGGAAUUGGCAUCCUUGUGCCAUUCACGUCCCAUGAGGACCAUGACUUCUUCCAGCAUGUGGAAAUGCACCUGCGGUCUGAACAUCCCCCUCUCUGUGGGCGGGACCACCUCAGCUUUCGCUCCUACUACUUCCCUGUGAAGAAUGUGAUUGAUGGAGACCUCUGUGAGCAGUUCAAUUCCAUGGAACCCAACAAACAAAAGAACGUCUCUGAAGAACUGGACCGAACCCCACCUGAGGUGUCCAAGAAACUCGAGGAUAUCCGGACCCGCUACGCCUUCUGAGCCCUCCUUUCCCCGUGGGGCUUGCCAGAGACUGUGUGUUUUGUUUCCCCCACCACCAUCACUGCCACCUGGCUUCUGCCAUGUGGCAGGAGGGUGACUGGAUAAUUAAGACUGCAUUAUGAAAGUCAACAGCUCUUUACCCUUAGCUCUUCUCCUGGAAUGACUGGCUUCCCCUCAAAUUGGCACUGAGAUUUGCUACACUUCUCCCCACCUGGUACAUGAUACAUGACCCCAGGUUCCAGUGUAGAACCUGAGUCCCCCAUUCCCCAAAGCCAUCCCUACAUUGAUAUGUCUUGACUCUCCUGUCUACUUUUGCACACACCCUUAAUUUUUAAUUGGUUUUCUUGUAAAUACAGUUUUGUACAAUGUUAUCUCUGUGGGAGGAAGGAGGCAGGCUGUGGUGGGACUGGGUAGGGUAUAGUAUCACUCCUGAGUUCCACUGCUCUAGAAUCUAACCAGAAAUAGAAACCUAGUUUUUAAGGUGAC